GGGCCCGCGUUUCAUUAGCUAGNUGUUAGGGUAAUGGCCUACCAAGGCAACGAUGAGUAGCUGGUCUGAGGGGAUGAUCAGCCACACUGGAACUGAAACACGGUCCAGACUCCUACGGGAGGCAGCAGUGGGGAAUAUUGCGCAAUGGGCGAAAGCCUGACGCAGCAACGCCGUGUGAGGGAUGAAGGCUUUCGGGUCAUAAACCUCUGUCAGAAGGGAAGAACGGGCAUUGGUCUAAUAGGCCUUUGUUUUGACGGUACCUUCAGAGGAAGCACCGGCUAACUCCGUGCCAGCAGCCGCGGUAAUACGGAGGGUGCAAGCGUUAUUCGGAAUUACUGGGCGUAAAGCGCACGUAGGCGGCCUUGUAAGUCAGGGGUGAAAUCCCACGGCUCAACCGUGGAACUGCCUUUGAAACUGCAGGGCUUGAAUCCUGGAGAGGGUGGCGGAAUUCCUGGUGUAGGAGUGAAAUCCGUAGAUAUCAGGAGGAACACCGGUGGCGAAGGCGGCCACCUGGAC
This 516-nucleotide ribosomal RNA is filed under the name uncultured sulfate-reducing bacterium. RNAcentral's name for it is "bacterial SSU rRNA". It matches the Rfam family "Bacterial small subunit ribosomal RNA", at positions 227 to 734 of the family's 1533-position model. The record is from RNAcentral.